Molecule: non-coding RNA, 107 nt
Filed under: Amorphochlora amoebiformis
Lineage: Eukaryota; Cercozoa; Chlorarachniophyceae
Source: RNAcentral
UGUAUGUAUAUAAAAUUAUGCUUUCUCCUCUCGUGAUUUUCUCCUUUUUCCAUCUCCCAACCUUCUCCUCUCUCGGAGAAAGAGGGUCGAAGGUAGUAGGGGCUGAC